RNAcentral lists this unclassified non-coding RNA (202 nucleotides) under Hevea brasiliensis (rubber tree). Lineage: Eukaryota; Viridiplantae; Streptophyta; Magnoliopsida; Malpighiales; Euphorbiaceae. The record is from RNAcentral.
ACUCCUAAUGGGAUAUAAGCUGGUGGCACAAUCAAAAAUCCCUUUGUACUGGUUUGCUGGUCCCUGAACCAUUAAUCUAGUUUUUACCACAUCAAGGGGAUUAGUUAGAGCUCCAGUUAUUGCACCAGCAAAAGCACCAAUUAUAGCAAUCUCAUGAUCUUUCAGAUCUCUUCGUGCCACCAGCUUAUAUCCCAUUAGGAGU